This 390-nucleotide ribosomal RNA is filed under the name uncultured bacterium. RNAcentral describes it as "bacterial SSU rRNA". It matches the Rfam family "Bacterial small subunit ribosomal RNA", at positions 28 to 417 of the family's 1533-position model. The record is from RNAcentral.
GACGAACGCUGGCGGCGUGCUUAACACAUGCAAGUCGAGCGGUAAGGCCCUUUCGGGGGUACACGAGCGGCGAACGGGUGAGUAACACGUGGGUGACCUGCCCUCAGCUCUGGGAUAAGCCUGGGAAACUGGGUCUAAUACCGGAUAUGACUCCAUGACGCAUGUUGUGGGGUGGAAAGCCUUGUGCGGCUGAGGAUGGGCCCGCGGCCUAUCAGCUUGUUGGGUGGGGUGANGGCCUACCAAGGCGACGACGGGUAGCCGGCCUGAGAGGGCGACCGGCCACACUGGGACUGAGACACGGGCCCAGACUCCUACGGGAGGCAGCAGUGGGGAAUCUUGCGCAAUGGGCGAAAGCCUGACGCAGCGACGCCGCGUGAGGGAUGACGGCCU